AACUCGACUGCAUGAAGCUGGAAUCGCUAGUAAUCGCGGAUCAGAAUGCCGCGGUGAAUACGUUCCCGGGUCUUGUACACACCGCCCGUCACACCAUGGGAGUCGGAUAUGCCCGAAGUCAGUGACCCAACCGCAAGGAGGGAGCUGCCGAAGGUGGAGCCGAUGACUGGGGUGAAGUCGUAACAAGGUAAC
This 192-nucleotide ribosomal RNA is filed under the name uncultured bacterium. Its description in RNAcentral is "partial 16S ribosomal RNA". It matches the Rfam family "Bacterial small subunit ribosomal RNA", at positions 1309 to 1500 of the family's 1533-position model. The record is from RNAcentral.